ACCAGUGUGGUGUAGUGGUUUGAACAUUGGACUACAACUCUAGAGACCAGGGUUUGAUUCACAGCUUAGUCA
Molecule: non-coding RNA, 72 nt
Organism: Phrynosoma platyrhinos (Desert horned lizard)
Lineage: Eukaryota; Metazoa; Chordata; Lepidosauria; Squamata; Phrynosomatidae
Source: the annotation of a GenBank genome assembly